CAAUGCGCAUUGGUUUAAUAUCGGGAGAAAAAAAAAUGAACAAAACAUCGUCGUUAUUCGUGUGUUGCAAAGUGAUUAAGUACAGCAGCCACUAUAAAACCGUAUCAUUAUUUUAACAGUGAAACAAAAUUGCCCAAUGCCAAUGACAGUAUUCUAUAAAAUAUAUUUGAAGUAACAGAAGUAAUUCGAUGGGCAACUAAUUUUAAAGUAAUAGGUAUAACUACAUACUUAGUCGACAGCAGUCUCAUAACAAUACGAUGGCAUAUCUGCAAUCAAAUCAAAAACAAACGAAUCUUCGACUUCUUCAAGUUCAAGGAACGGAUGACCAAAAAUAUAAUUUAAAAAUUUUCCUUCAUCUGUGUCUCCUUCAAUAUAAAGUUUGGAUAAACCCAAAUUUUGAAAUUUUCUGAGCCAAGCUGUAGUAUAUAAUAACUUUGUUUACAUACAGCCUCAAUUUUCAUCAAAACUAAAUUAAAUUUAAAAAACGUCAGAAUGUGAAUCGGGCACUCAUCCCUUACUCAUCAGCAUCAGAUGAGAGGGAAGACCUACCUGUAUGUGCCAGUUGUAACAUACCUGAGAUCAAACAUAUCAUAACAGAAUGAUAUGUCUCUCCCAUGAAACGGAUAAACGGGAAGAAGGAGUACCAGACAUCCUAUCUGAAGCCCUUCAUCCAGACAACAUAAAUAACACAAUGACAUUUAUGAUUAAGACUAAUUUAAUCAAUCAUUUGAACUACUACAUUAAUGUUAGGUUAUGUAUUUUAAGAUAAUAUAAUGUGAACCUUGUAAAAUAUUUGCAG
Molecule: long non-coding RNA, 799 nt
Organism: Myzus persicae (green peach aphid)
Lineage: Eukaryota; Metazoa; Arthropoda; Insecta; Hemiptera; Aphididae
Exons: 3
Source: RefSeq, a predicted model, not a curated record